RNAcentral lists this transfer RNA (65 nucleotides) under Dichoptera sp. WW-2021a. RNAcentral's name for it is "tRNA-Ala". Lineage: Eukaryota; Metazoa; Arthropoda; Insecta; Hemiptera; Fulgoridae. The record is from RNAcentral.
AGGGAUGUAGUUAAAUAAUAACAUUUAUUCUGCAAAUAAAACUUAUUGAAAAUCAAUCUUCCUUA